UACGUAGGGUGCAGGCGUUAAUCGGAAUUACUGGGCGUAAAGCGUGCGCAGGCGGUUUGCUAAGUGAGAUGUGAAAUCCCCGGGCUUAACCUGGGAACUGCGUUUCUAACUGGCAGGCUUGAGUGUGGCAGAGGGGGGUGGAAUUCCACGUGUAGCAGUGAAAUGCGUAGAGAUGUGGAGGAACACCGAUGGCGAAGGCAGCCCCCUGGGCUAACACUGACGCUCAGGCACGAAAGCGUGGGGAGCAAACAGG
This 253-nucleotide ribosomal RNA is filed under the name uncultured bacterium. RNAcentral describes it as "partial 16S ribosomal RNA". It matches the Rfam family "Bacterial small subunit ribosomal RNA", at positions 524 to 776 of the family's 1533-position model. The record is from RNAcentral.